UACAGAGGUGGCAAGCGUUGUUCGGAAUUACUGGGCGUAAAGGGCGCGUAGGUGGCCUUCUUAGUCAGACGUGAAAUCCCCGGGCUUAACUCGGGAACUGCGUCUGAUACUGGAAGGCUGGAGUUCGGGAGAGGAAUGUGGAAUUCCAGGUGUAGCGGUGAAAUGCGUAGAUAUCUGGAGGAACACCGGUGGCGAAGGCGGCAUCCUGGACCGGCAUUGACGCUGAGGAGCGAAAGCCAGGGGAGCAAACGGG
Molecule: ribosomal RNA, 253 nt
Filed under: uncultured bacterium
Lineage: Bacteria
Description: partial 16S ribosomal RNA
Rfam family: Bacterial small subunit ribosomal RNA
Source: RNAcentral